CACACUCAAUAAAACAUUCGGGAAUAAGUAGCUUAGCUGGCUGAUUACCUCAACUUUCACCUUAAUUUUUCACACUCAAUAAAACACAACGGUCUAAUUCUACCUAGCGGAGACUAUUGAAAAACUGGAGUCUGAUCUUUUUGAGAGUUGAAAGAGCAUCUUCCAUGCUAAUUCUUGCAUCAGGUGUCACUACAGUGCAACUCAAAGCUAAUUUCAUGAUAGAUGAAAAACACUGCAUCUUUGCAUCGAUUUGUUCAUCCCCUGGCGUAUCAAAUUGGAAUCCACCACCUUAUGAAUACCACUCGGAAAAGAAUCAUUAAUCCAACAUCGUAUAUUCAUUUCUCCGGUAAAUAUUUCAUCACUUGGUCGCCUUCUUGUGAACAUCUCCAUUAUCACGAUGCCAAAACUAUAAACAUCACAGCUGGUGGAGACUAUUCCGUCUUGUCCAUAUUCUGGAGCAAUAUAUCCAAUGGUUGCUAUUGUCCUUGUUUGAACAAAAUCCUCCCCUGCACCUAACAAUUUUGCAAUGCCAAAAUCACUGACAUGG
Molecule: unclassified non-coding RNA, 547 nt
Filed under: Hevea brasiliensis (rubber tree)
Lineage: Eukaryota; Viridiplantae; Streptophyta; Magnoliopsida; Malpighiales; Euphorbiaceae
Source: RNAcentral